UACGAAGGGGGCGAGCGUUGUUCGGAUUUACUGGGCGUAAAGGGCGCGCAGGCGGCUUAUUUUGUCAGGCGUGAAAGCCCCGGGCUUAACCUGGGAACUGCGUUUGAUACGGAUGGGCUAGAGUUCGGGAGAGGAGAGUGGAAUUCCCAGUGUAGAGGUGAAAUUCGUAGAUAUUGGGAAGAACACCGGUGGCGAAGGCGGCUCUCUGGACCGAGACUGACGCUGAGGCGCGAAAGCGUGGGGAGCGAACAGG
RNAcentral lists this ribosomal RNA (253 nucleotides) under uncultured bacterium. RNAcentral describes it as "partial 16S ribosomal RNA". It matches the Rfam family "Bacterial small subunit ribosomal RNA", at positions 524 to 776 of the family's 1533-position model. The record is from RNAcentral.